CAAAAAACAUAGACCAUACAUUACCAAAAACCCAGCAAAAACGAAAACCCCCCUCCACGCUGAAACCCGUCAAAUAUUCCCUUCCCCCCUCACGCCAGAACGGACGUGGCAAACCCAAGGGAGCAGAACGGAAAUCACGCGAAAUUUCAAAACCUACGCGCGAGAGAUUCGACAGAAACAGCAGCCACGCUGUCUCGCUCUCUCUCCUCCUCUGCCUCAUUCUGCUCUUGUGCAGUUGCUUUCGGCGAAAGCAGACCUGCGUGUUCAUCCUUGGUUGCGGGAGAUUGAGCCACGUAGUGCAAAAAGGACUACAUUUCAUGAUCCGAGGCGUCAAUUUCUCCCUUUCCCCUUUUGGGAUGGGACGAAAUAAGGGGAAUUCUUCACAGAAUAUGGUUUGCUUCGUUAUAGGAAAAAAUUCAAAAAUUUGAGUUUAGGUGGGUUUCGAACCCGAUUUCGAUUCCGGGUUUCCGAUUCCUUUGACCUAAUCUCUCCAUCUAUAUAUUGUCGCUUUCUUCUACUUCAAGGGGGGAUUUUUUUUGAGAAAAAUUUUUCUAGCGACUUAAGAAAGAAUCGACGAACUAUAUACAUAAGAGGCCGAUUUCUGUUCGAGGUUAGAUUUUUGGGGUUGGAAAAUUUUGUUGAAAAUUUUCAAGAGAGAAACUUGGGGUGGAGGAAAAAUCUUGCAAAUAUUUUUGGUUCUCUUCUGUUUUGUUGUAGGAGAACAGUGGUUUGGACGAUUUUUCUUUGAGAGUUGGAGAGUUAUCACGAAGAUUCAUAAAGGUUUUCUGGAGAAAACACUUUUUUUUUCGUCUGUUGUAGGAGAACCAUCGAGAUUUUUUCUUUUGGUUAUCUUCUUGUUCGUUGUCGGGAGAAGUAGAGGAGGUGUGUUGUCAUUUUCCUGUUCAAACGAACUAAGGGAGAGCCUUAAGCGGUCUUAGAGAGAGUUUUCCAAGAUUGCGAUGAGCACAAAGUUGGCAGAUUGGCGAGUUAACCGACCCCGCAGCUUCCAUUUCAUCGUUUGUUGUUCGUGUCUUCGUUUGGGGUGGAAGUUAUCAUUGUCGCUGCUCAUUCUCAUCUCACUUCACUGAUCUCAGAGAGAGUAGGACAGGUGAACAUGGGUCAAGAACCCAAAAGCAGGUGGGUCCAAAACUUGAUCAAGGCGAACAGAACCCGAAUUUGGACCCAAAAAUCUCUCUCUCUCUCUCUCUCUCCCACUCUCUUUCUUUAUUACUUGCUUAUGUGCAUUGCUUAAACGUCGUUAGCCUAGGACUAGAAAACUACAAAUCCCCUUUGAAGCGCCUUUCUAUUUUAUCAAGCUAAAACUAAGUCUUAAGACAACAAUAUUUCAAACUCAUAAAGCUCGUUUAGAUAAAAACCUUAAGGAAGUUAAACUUCGAAACAGAUCCGCAAAUUUGCAAGAUAAAUAAUGAAUAUUUCAAAACUUGUAAAUUUGCCUAAGUAUUUUUCUAAUAAGUUCAAUAACAAAAGAUUCGCAAACAUUAAGGUAAAAUAGUCAAAUAAGUUAAUCGCCGGAAACCGUAGUUAGCGGAGCGUCUUAUGUGCUUUUUCGAAACCUUCCUAAGACGCUAAUAGAAUCCCGAACCCUUAAAAUUUUUCAAACGAUUUCCUGUUUAAUUAUUUGAAAACAAGUUUCUUAAUUUUCUCAAAAUUAAGUGGCGACUCUUAAAAAUGUUGAAAAUAUCCUUUAAAAUCAACGAACUCUUUUCGAAAUUAUUUUUCGAUAAAACAGCUUGUAUAUGUGCAUAAGGUCUCAUGCAUAGUACAUGUGGAGUACUAACCCCAUUUUCUUCCCUUUUCCCAAACAUUUUAGGUUCCGAUCGUUGAAGAGUUUGGAAGGCGACAUUGUUGAAGGCUUGGAUUCUUCAUUUCAUCCAAGUAGGGUAGGUCCUCAACUUCCGAGGGCAAUGCCACUAUCUAGCUUAUGGACUUGUUAUGAGCUUAAAAAAUCUUUCAUUUCUUUUCUUUUCAAUUGGGUAUCAUACUUUUGUAUGACCUAUAUGUGGUCUUGUUGUAUUGAGGACUAUGCCCAUAUAGGGAUAAUCGUUUAGAUGGUUUGAUAUGAGACAAUCUUUGAGACUAUUUCACUAUCAUAUAUAUAUGUAUGUACAAUAAAAGUAGAAGGCUUUGUAACAUUCCUAUUUGAAGGUUCUAUGUAUACUCAAUACGACUAUAUAUAAUGUGUCUCUAGAGGUCUAUGUAAACCUCCAAGUAUUUAUAAUGAAAGUUUUAAGUUUUUCCACAUUUUUCAACCUAUGAAUGUAAUGACCUGACACUAAGAGGCUAGUCUUAGUCUUUGAAAAGGACGAUGACGAUGGUUACGUCUAGGGGUAGGAUGUGAAAAACUUGGUAUCAAAGCAUGAG
RNAcentral lists this long non-coding RNA (2382 nucleotides) under Solanum lycopersicum (tomato). RNAcentral's name for it is "partial TCONS_00197863". Lineage: Eukaryota; Viridiplantae; Streptophyta; Magnoliopsida; Solanales; Solanaceae. The record is from RNAcentral.